This 253-nucleotide ribosomal RNA is filed under the name uncultured bacterium. Its description in RNAcentral is "partial 16S ribosomal RNA". It matches the Rfam family "Bacterial small subunit ribosomal RNA", at positions 524 to 776 of the family's 1533-position model. The record is from RNAcentral.
UACGUAGGAUGCAAGCGUUGUCCGGAAUUAUUGGGCGUAAAGAGCGCGCAGGCGGUAUGACAAGUCAGAUGUGAAAGAGGCCGGCUUAACCGGCAAGGGUCAUUUGAAACUGUCAGACUAGAGUGCAGCAGAGGAUAGUGGAAUUCCCGGUGUAGUGGUGAAAUGCGUAGAUAUUGGGAGGAACACCAGUGGCGAAGGCGACUAUCUGGGCUGCAACUGACGCUGAGGCGCGAAGGCUAGGGUAGCAAACAGG